AUGGGCUUCUAUGGCCGUCCGAACUGGAAUGAACACAGCUUAUCCUGGGAUGAUAUUUGCAAUCUUCACAGUAAGGGUGACCAUCCUUGGGUAAUUUUGGGGGAUUUUAAUGAAAUAUUAUAUUCUUCAGAAAAAGAGGGCGGUAAUGCGAGACCAAAUGGUAUGACGAGGGAGUUCCGUGAAUGCCUUAUGGAUUGUGGGCUAGAGGACUUAGGUUACAUUGGCGACCUUUUUACUUGGAGCAGAGGUGAUAUUCGAGAGCGUCUUGAUCGUGCAGUAUGUAAUAUAGGGUGGGCACUCAAAUUCCCUCGUGUAAUGGUGAUUAAUGAAGAACAUGUUCAUUCCGACCAUCGCCCGCUGGUGCUGGAUACGGAUUAUAUGGACGAGAAUAUUUUCAAGCAACCACCGGGACGUGCAAAACAAUUUGAAGCUAGGUGGUUACAGGAAUACACUGUUAAUGAAAUCGUUAAGGCAUCUUGA
This 480-nucleotide ribosomal RNA is filed under the name Triticum aestivum (bread wheat). RNAcentral describes it as "partial small subunit ribosomal RNA". Lineage: Eukaryota; Viridiplantae; Streptophyta; Magnoliopsida; Poales; Poaceae. The record is from RNAcentral.